Long non-coding RNA from Sinocyclocheilus grahami, 187 nucleotides. RefSeq lists it as uncharacterized. Lineage: Eukaryota; Metazoa; Chordata; Actinopteri; Cypriniformes; Cyprinidae. The record is from RefSeq and is a predicted model, not a curated record. The transcript is spliced from 3 exons.
GCAGGCAUUGUGUUAAUGCGCAGGGCCAUUGCCAAAAUGCUUUUAAGAGAAACUGAUGACCUUUCAGAACUAUGCCUUUCUUGUGGAGACAGAUACAAACAGAUGACCAACUGAUCAAUGGAUUGAAUGCUCAGAAUGUGGAAGGUGGUACUAUUAGGGCUGUGUGGGCAGACCUUAAACAGCUGGC